This 569-nucleotide long non-coding RNA is filed under the name Triticum aestivum (bread wheat). RNAcentral describes it as "long non-coding RNA (TAES_LNC025177)". Lineage: Eukaryota; Viridiplantae; Streptophyta; Magnoliopsida; Poales; Poaceae. The record is from RNAcentral.
UUUUUUCAACGGUUUUCCAUAAAUAAAAUUAUGUUGUUUAGUUGUAAAUUAUUUUUUCUUUCAUUUAAGUUCAUUGGAACAGAGGGAUCAUAAGAAUUUAAGACGAACGAAUUGAUCACUGCAUUUCGUUUAUGUGCAAAACAGUACAGACAGCGUAGCAGCAUGUUCUUGCUUAUUAUUCACAUGAUGUACAUCGAUCGACCCCUGCUAAGAAGAAGUGCAACUUGAUGGAUGUACUGCUGCUGCUAGUGGGUAGCUACUUGGUGGUUUGGUAGGGCGCCUCGCAGAACUCGCCGCCAAGAUCGUCGCACGCCUCGUCCGGGAACACCCUGCAUCCGUCCAUCCACACAUAGUUUCAGUUAUUAGUGACAGGUGCAGUGCCACAACUAUAUAAUAUGAUCAUGUAGGCAGGGUUACGUUUUUGGCCCGUCGUAGGCUAGGUACUCCCUCUCCACCUCCGGCGCCCUCGCCGCGGCCGCCGGGGCGCCUGCACCGGCGCCGAGCUUCGUCUCCGGGUACAUCUGCGCCUCGCACGCCUCGCCGCCGACCAGGUCGCAGGCCUCCAUGGG